This 1103-nucleotide long non-coding RNA is filed under the name Macaca fascicularis (crab-eating macaque). RNAcentral's name for it is "lncRNA (ENSMFAG00000052615.1)". Lineage: Eukaryota; Metazoa; Chordata; Mammalia; Primates; Cercopithecidae. The record is from RNAcentral.
ACUCUUCUUUUGUGACAGUAUUAGAGUCAAAACUUGUCCAGACACCGCUCAUGUCUGCCAAAUGGAUGGUGAGACAGGAGGUCAGACUGAAUUAAUUUGCACAGUUUCCCAUCUGGCGUCUGAUUCAUUCUGUGAGGCUGCUGGAAACAGCGGAGGUCUACAGAUGACUGCUACUAAAACAUGACCAUAUGGGCGCAUCAACAUCCACAGGAAACUGGAGUCUCUGGGGUGGUGGCUUCACAUGGAAGACAACAGAAAGAAGUCAGAACAAAGACAAAUCGCUCUGCACUGGGCUUUCCAGCCGAGCAGAUCCAGAAAGAGACAACAUCAGAAGAAAGUAAUUUCAGGUUUCCAGUUCUUCUUCCAUCUUAAAGGUGUUCUGUGUGUCCAGGGCUGACUGUGGCCCCUGGAUCUGCAGGUGGGAGCCUCCCCUCCAUCCUCCCGCGUCAUUUCCCUCCUUGACUUCCUUUACCUGCCCUUUAUCACAUUGCUUCCUACCCAGGGCAAUCUUGUGAUACCAUUAGCUGAUUGGAGAUUAAUAGGAGACAGGAGGAUCCCACAGGACAAACCAACCAACCAACCCUGCCUUUUUGAAAGCCUGGCUGUCAGAAGCUUCUGCCGGCAGGUGGCUGCAGGUCAUAAAACCGAUUGGAAGCAUUUCCACUUUGUAAAGCAGACCCCAAAAGGCAAACGUGGAAUCAGGAUUCACGUUACAUAGCAUCCUGCACGUGCCCCUCCGCUCCUGAUGAACUGCUCAGGAAGCAGGUGAGAACUGGAAGCACACGGAAAGUGGAGCUAUUAAGCUAUCUGGGCCACUGAUGAGAUGCUGCUGGCUGGCUUAACCUCUUCAGUGCCUGCCUAGUUCUGUUGCAGCUGUUGGCACAGUUACCAGCCCUGAGAAAUAUAGGGCACUUAUUUUUGGAAACGCGCUCUAUAUCCGAAAGCACUCAUGAUGAUGAGAUUCAGCCAGACGGCAGAAACACGGUCACCUGCUCCUGCAAAACAUCACUGAGCACAGCAGUGGUUCUGGGCGCCAUUAAUUAUUAUUACACCCGGCUGCAUUUCCCUUGCCUCCCCGCAAGCCUCACAAAGAACCCGGAUUU